Molecule: ribosomal RNA, 344 nt
Filed under: uncultured bacterium
Lineage: Bacteria
Description: bacterial SSU rRNA
Rfam family: Bacterial small subunit ribosomal RNA
Source: RNAcentral
UACUCUUGGACAGCCUUCUGAAAGGAAGAUUAAUACAAGAUGGCUCCGCAUGUUUAAAGGUAUUCCGGUAGACGAUGGGGAUGCGUUCCAUUAGAUAGUAGGCGGGGUAACGGCCCACCUAGUCUUCGAUGGAUAGGGGUUCUGAGAGGAAGGUCCCCCACAUUGGAACUGAGACACGGUCCAAACUCAUACGGGAGGCAGCAGUGAGGAAUAUUGGUCAAUGGGCGAGAGCCUGAACCAGCCAAGUAGCGUGAAGGAUGACUGCCUAUGGGUUGUAAACUUCUUUUAUAAAGGAAUAAGUCGGGUAUGCAUACCCGUUUGCAUGUACUUUAUGAAUAAGGAUC